This 440-nucleotide ribosomal RNA is filed under the name uncultured bacterium. Its description in RNAcentral is "partial 16S ribosomal RNA". It matches the Rfam family "Bacterial small subunit ribosomal RNA", at positions 338 to 795 of the family's 1533-position model. The record is from RNAcentral.
CCUACGGGCGGCAGCAGUGGGGAAUAUUGCACAAUGGGGGAAACCCUGAUGCAGCGACGCCGCGUGAGUGAAGAAGUAUUUCGGUACGUAAAGCUCUAUCAGCAGGGAAGAAAAUGACGGUACCUGACUAAGAAGCCCCGGCUAACUACGUGCCAGCAGCCGCGGUAAUACGGAGGGGGCAAGCGUUAGCCGGAUUUACUGGGUGUAAAGGGAGCGUAGACGGCAGCGCAAGUCUGGAGUGAAAUCCCAUGGCUUAACCAUGGAACUGCUUUGGAAACUGUGCAGCUAGAGUGCAGGAGAGGUAAGCGGAAUGCGUAGUGUAGCGGUGAAAUGCGUAGAUAUUAGGAGGAACACCAGUGGCGAAGGCGGCUUACUGGACUGUAACUGACGUUGAGGCUCGAAAGCGUGGGGAGCAAACAGGAUUAGAUACCCCAGUAGUC